This 828-nucleotide ribosomal RNA is filed under the name Triticum aestivum (bread wheat). RNAcentral describes it as "partial small subunit ribosomal RNA". The record is from RNAcentral. Lineage: Eukaryota; Viridiplantae; Streptophyta; Magnoliopsida; Poales; Poaceae.
AUGAGGAUUGUCAUAACCGACCGGGACCUCGAGUGCUUGAUCGCUGCCUGCCCCCUUCUGAAAUCCCUUCGGCUCACCAUGAAUAGCCCCACGCAUGUCCGUCUCCGCAGCAAAAGCCUCAGCUGCGCGCUCGUUGGGUUGUCCAAGGUUGAGGAGUUCACCGUGGUGGACACGCCGCUACUGCAGCGGCUCUACUUGUUCCAGCAGUUUAAUGGUGGGGCAGUCAGGAUCGCUUGUGUUCCCAACCUGCGCGUGCUCGGCUACCUGGACACAAGAACUCACAAGCUGCAGAUUGGUGACAGCGUCAUCAGGCCGGACACAAUGGUGAGUGCAAGGACCGUGGUUCCAAGCGUCGAGAUAUUGGCGUUAGCAGUGAAUUUGGGUAUCUCCGGGGAAGUUAAGAUACUGGCCAGCUUCCUCAGAUGCUUUCCGAACGUUGAGACGCUGCACAUUGAGCCACCUGUAACUUCCAGUGAACCCAGUGGGGAGCAUCAUGCCAGGUUCUAUCAGGAGGUCAGUCAGGUUGAUUGCUUGAGAGCACAUGCCAAGAAGAUGGUUAUUCACGAUUUCCGAGGGGAUCAAAAUGAAUUUGAAUUCGUCAAGUUCGUCGCCAAGAAUGCCCAGGAGCUACAGUUCUUUCUGGUUGUUGUGUCGGACGAAGGGAUCUUGUCUUCAGCUGACAAGGUGAAGGAGAUAAAAGACGAAUUGCAGUAUGUACAGUUUCGCGCAGGUAUCUCUGCAGUGUUAUGGGAGUUACCUAAAGCAGGCAUUCUUUAUCGCUUGAAGAGAGCAGCCGAUCUUGCAAUCAACGACCCUUUUCAGUGUUGA